RNAcentral lists this transfer RNA (72 nucleotides) under Chloroflexi bacterium CG_4_10_14_0_8_um_filter_46_9. RNAcentral describes it as "tRNA-Lys". It matches the Rfam family "tRNA". From Rfam's summary of the family: Transfer RNA (tRNA) molecules are approximately 80 nucleotides in length. Their secondary structure includes four short double-helical elements and three loops (D, anti-codon, and T loops). Lineage: Bacteria; Bacillati; Chloroflexota. The record is from RNAcentral.
GGGUGCGUAACUCAGAGGCAGAGUAGCCGGCUUUUAACCGGCAAGUCGAGAUUUCAAAAUUCUCCGCACCCA